ACAUCCCAACGCGCCUACCAUCUC
Molecule: non-coding RNA, 24 nt
Filed under: Arabidopsis thaliana (thale cress)
Lineage: Eukaryota; Viridiplantae; Streptophyta; Magnoliopsida; Brassicales; Brassicaceae
Source: RNAcentral